Herpailurus yagouaroundi (jaguarundi) is the source of this 2796-nucleotide long non-coding RNA. RefSeq lists it as uncharacterized. Lineage: Eukaryota; Metazoa; Chordata; Mammalia; Carnivora; Felidae. The transcript has 3 exons. The record is from RefSeq and is a predicted model, not a curated record.
GACCGUCCUUCUCCUUGACUCACCUCCAGCCCGGGAGGGCCAGGAUCAACGGCGGUGGCCAGGGCGCCGCCCGCACCGCCGGGCUGCGCCACCGCCCCGGACUCUUCCGGCGCGGCGAGGUCGCCCUCCUUGGCGCCCCCGGGUGGGGCAGGUCGAGCCCGGUGCGCUAUCCCUUUAAACCCGGGCGAGAUGGGAGCUGUCAGCGACAGCCGAGGCUAGCGCGGGACGUCGCCGCCCGCCAGGCCAGAGCAAGGAGCCGCGGAGCGAGCAGAGAGCGGAGGUGGUGGCGGGGCCGGGGCGCGGCAGGUCCCCUCGCCGCCCACUGAGCUCUCGAACCCGGGGCCCGGCGAGGCGGGCGGAGCCCAGUGUAAUGCGGAGAAUGUGAGAGGCAGCGCAGAGCGGUGGGGAGGAGGGCGCGCGCAAGAGGGCGGCGGCAAGAUAGACGGAGAGACAGCGGGAGCGACAGAGGACAGGGAACAGGGAGCAGGUGGGAGAAAGGAGAGGAGAAAAAAGGAGUGGCAGGGACAGGAAAGGGGGACAGAAGGGAGCGAGAGAACACUAGGCGCGGGCGGCGGCGCAGGCGAGGAGGAGGAGGCCGGCGCCUCUGGGUGGGAGUGCCGGAAGCCAGAGUUGGGCUCCCCGGCCGGGGUUCGGGUUGCGAGCGCUGCCGCGGCCGGGCCGGGCAUGGUGGGGGAGAGGGGACGCCCGAGGGGCCCCCUCUGGGAACGGCGGGGGACCUGAGGCAGGGCCAGCCGGGACAGGGGCGCAGGGCCACUCCACAGGCCCCGCGGGCCGUGCUCCGGAGGCUCCAGCUGGCCGGGGCAAGGGGGCCUUUGUGAGCGCCCCAAGAGUGCGCAGCCGGGCGUGCGGCCGCGGGGAUGUGUGCGCGCCCGGGGGGUGCGCGGGUGUGCGCGAGUGUGAGCGCCCCGGCGGGUGGGAGCGCGCGUUAGGGAUUCUGCUGGCAUCGCAGCGUGGAGAACAGGAGGCAGGAGUGGGGCGCGCAGGGGAGCGCGGGGCCCUCCCGCGCACACGCACACGCCGCGCGCGCGCGCGCACACAUACACAUACACACACGCACACGCCCUCUCUGCCUCGCUCGCUGCCGCUGCCACCAUCUCGGAGCCGAGCCUUGCGGAGCGGGAACCCGAGCCGGAGCGGGAACCAGAGCCGAGCGGAGCCGAAUCGGGGAAUGCGGUCCCGGAACGGAGCGGCGCGCGAAGUGCGCGCCCGGGACGCCUCCUGUGCCCACAGGCCCUGAGGCUCCGGUGCCCACAGGCAAAGAGGGCGACUGAGUCAAACCCAGGCUGACCCCAGCCCAUUUGCAUUCCCCAAACGCCUGCCUGACCUGAGGUCAGGAGGGAGCAGGAGCAUGUGGAUUGAGACCGGGUCCAAGAAACUGUCAAGAGGAGCUGGUACUGGCUCCAACAUGUGGACUUUAAAUGGACCUCCAAGCCAGAGUCCGCGCACAGAUCCAGACACCUUCGGGGCAGGCUGAGGCUCAGUGCCAGUCAUGUGCAUGUGACAAGUACUGGCAGCCAGGUGACCUUGGCUUUGUGUGAGCAGUGUGGGUGGCCACUUGGAUUGUAUCAUGAGGAGCAGGACAUUCAGAAUGUGGGAGGUGAUAGGCCCUCCCACUAUGUCCCAGGUGGGGUAAUAUGGAGAAACUACAGCAAGUGCUGAGGGGGAAGGAAGGAGCUGGGUUGCUGCUUGACCUGACUCCUGGCUUGCUUGUGACCUUGGGCGAGUGACUUCUCCCCUUUAUCUGGGCCAAUCUGCUGCUGUUCUUGACAGGCUUCUGGGACCCAUGAGAAAGCUGCUGAGGGACUUUGCUAAACAGAAGGAAUGCUAGGGGAAGGCUGGGGGCAGCAGGCUGGACUGGACCGUUAUCAUUAUUUUCAGAGGAAGGAGAUCCAGAGGCUCUGUAGGGCAGUGGGCCUCGAACCCCUUCUCCCGAAGGAUUAGGUGAAAGUCGUGGUGUGGCUGAGGCUCAGCCAACACUGUCCUCCCACCCAGGAAGCUGGUGAGGUGUGGCAGGAAGUGGACAGCUGGAUUUCCUUCCAGAAACUAGGCCUUGCUUUGAAGUCCAGUUGUCUCUAUCAAGAGAUUCUUGCUAAUCAGUCAGUUCUGAGUGGAAUGAGCAGCUAAUCAGCCCCUCUGGUUUAACCUGUAAUUGCUGCUGGGAGAUGGGGAGAAGGAUGUGGUCAGGGUUCUCCGCAGGGCUACCAAGGGCGAUGGGAGGGGUAUGGGCAGGGGUGGCAGAGAGGCCGGGCUUUGCCCCUAGCCUCGUCAGGGGCCACAGUAUCCUUCUUGCUGCCCAGGGGGACGGCACCGGGCACCAGGAAGCUCAGCGGGCAGAGAUACACUGAGAAAUGAAUGCAAGGAGGAGGAGGGGAGGUCUGGGCUGAGCCUUGAAGGCUAACGGGUUCUUUUAAAAUGUUCUAUUUUCCUGAUUAUUAAAAACAAAACAAAACAACACAACAGCACGUUCUCUAUAGAAAAUGUGAGUAUUUGGGUGUUUUGCCUGUCAGUCUUUUACCAAAUAUGUAUUUGUGACAUAAAUGGGAUCAGACUGUACUUACUGUUUUCUAACCUGCCUUUUGUACUUAAUACUAUACCAAGCUCAUUUUCCCAUCAUGAAAUACUCUCUGUAAUGUGAUUUUUAAUGGCAGCGUAAUGUUCCAGCCUGUGUGUGGUAUCUCUUGUGUAACAGUUCUAUUACAUAUUUUGAUUGUUUCCAAUGUGUUUCAUUAUAAGUAGUGCCUGCAUGAACAGGAUGAUGUAUGUAGAGUUAUGAUG